GCCAGCAGCUACUGUAUAUCACCCUGCAGCUUUCAACUGGCUACCCAUUGAAGCUAAGCAGGGUUGAGCCUGGUCAGUACCUGGAUGAGAGACCUCCUGGGAAGCUGUGGUUGCUGCUGGAA
This is a ribosomal RNA of Lepisosteus oculatus (spotted gar), 122 nucleotides long. The record is from Rfam. Lineage: Eukaryota; Metazoa; Chordata; Actinopteri; Semionotiformes; Lepisosteidae.